RNAcentral lists this long non-coding RNA (314 nucleotides) under Elaeis guineensis (African oil palm). RNAcentral describes it as "long non-coding RNA (EGUI_LNC028306)". Lineage: Eukaryota; Viridiplantae; Streptophyta; Magnoliopsida; Arecales; Arecaceae. The record is from RNAcentral.
UAGCCAUUAGGAACCCUGAGGUAUAUGUUGGCUGUAGUAAAUUCAUUGUAGGAACUAGGUCGCACCAAGAUGGGAUUUAUCAACCUCGGUAGAUGAGAGUAGUCCUAUGAUAAUUGAAAGAUCGAGUCCUUAAGCCUAUGGCCAUGGCAGAGUAAAAUAAUGAAAAAGAGUUUUCCAUUAAGAUUUCACAUCGGACUCGGAUCGAUCGAUUAACUCAUAUGACUGAUGUUGGGUUUGAUGAGUUCACCUUAACCCUAAUUCAGUCAGGACUCAUGAUAGAGGAACUCAAUCACACAGAUAGCUGCACCGAGAGG